ACUCAAAGGAAUUGACGGGGGCCCGCACAAGCGGAGGAGCAUGUGGUUUAAUUCGAUGAUACGCGAGGAACCUUACCCGGGCUUGAAUUGCAGUGGAAGGAUGUGGAAACAUGUCCGUCUUCGGACCACUGUGAAGGUGCUGCAUGGUUGUCGUCAGCUCGUGCCGUGAGGUGUUAGGUUAAGUCCUGCAACGAGCGCAACCCUUACACUUAGUUGCCAGCAUGUAAUGAUGGGGACUCUAAGUGAACUGCCUACGCAAGUAGAGAGGAAGGUGGGGAUGACGUCAAAUCAGCACGGCCCUUAUGUUCGGGGCUACACACGUGCUACAAUGGUCGGUACAGAGGGCAGCUACCACGCGAGUGGAUGCUAAUCUCCAAAGCCGAUCUCAGUUCGGAUCGGAGUCUGUAACUCGACUCCGUGAAGUUGGAUUCGCUAGUAAUCGCACAUCAGCCAUGGUGCGGUGAAUACGUUCCCGGGCCUUGUACACACCGCCCGU
RNAcentral lists this ribosomal RNA (496 nucleotides) under uncultured bacterium. RNAcentral describes it as "bacterial SSU rRNA". It matches the Rfam family "Bacterial small subunit ribosomal RNA", at positions 899 to 1397 of the family's 1533-position model. The record is from RNAcentral.